RNAcentral lists this long non-coding RNA (797 nucleotides) under Volvox carteri. Its description in RNAcentral is "long non-coding RNA (VCAR_LNC003493)". Lineage: Eukaryota; Viridiplantae; Chlorophyta; Chlorophyceae; Chlamydomonadales; Volvocaceae. The record is from RNAcentral.
UUACAGGCAGUCACCGCCUUCCCCAUUGUUUCGGCGUCGGCUUGCACAAUUGAGUGCCUGUCACAGCCAGACCGACUAAUUUCAGGCCUAAUAUAUCUAUUAUACCUUUUCUUGAGUAGUUGCCGAACCGCUUAGGGGUCAUCCAGACGGAGGGGUACCUGCAGGCAGGAAAGCUGUGCUUUGCUUCCGUGGGAGGGGGCGAGCCUGGUUACCGAGCGACUCUUUGUAUAGAGACCAUAAAGGAAUUACCGACGCGGUUGUGUACCCUAUAGAGCCAUGCCCGUGUACCUAGCUAGGUACACGGGUAGGGCAGCAAUGCUGGCUUUUAGCGGGCUCACCCAGGUUGGGUAUCAGCAGCCACUUUGCCAGGUGUCUUCCCUAGAGACCGACAUUCGCCCGCAUAUGCAUGCCCGCAUGUUUCUGUGAUCUGUGGACAGUACGUAGUGGAGUACAGUGAGUAUUAGAACCCUUCUGCAGUGCCACGCCGGUGCUGAUGGAUAGCUAGGUGCCGGCUAGGUACCGGAUGCAGCGCAGGCCCAGCCCGGAUGACCAUUUCUACGGAUCGGUUACGUACGACUGGUCCUGAGCAACCCUCAAGUGUGCGCGCACCGUGCUGUACAUAUACGUGUCGUCGCUGCUGCAGUUGUCACCCACUCAUUGAUUCGGUUCCAUCAGCAGUUUGAUGAUAUUCGUCCCUGGUAAACUGCACCAGUCAUGGAUGUGCAGCAGUGGCCGGAGCCAGGAUAUUUAGGCCAGGGCAACGUUAGAAAUCAUUACCUGGAAUUAGCACAAUAAAC